CUAUGCGCCUUGCCAGCCGCUCAGGUGUGUCAGCCGCCGCGGUAAUACAGAGGUCUCAAGCGUUGUUCGGAAUCACUGGGCGUAAAGCGUGCGUAGGCGGUUUCGUAAGUCGUGUGUGAAAGGCGGGGGCUCAACCCCCGGACUGCACAUGAUACUGCGAGACUAGAGUAAUGGAGGGGGAACCGGAAUUCUCGGUGUAGCAGUGAAAUGCGUAGAUAUCGAGAGGAACACUCGUGGCGAAGGCGGGUUCCUGGACAUUAACUGACGCUGAGGCACGAAGGCCAGGGGAGCGAAAGGG
Molecule: ribosomal RNA, 298 nt
Filed under: uncultured bacterium
Lineage: Bacteria
Description: partial 16S ribosomal RNA
Rfam family: Bacterial small subunit ribosomal RNA
Source: RNAcentral